Molecule: ribosomal RNA, 442 nt
Filed under: Haplosyllis spongicola
Lineage: Eukaryota; Metazoa; Annelida; Polychaeta; Phyllodocida; Syllidae
Description: partial 16S ribosomal RNA
Rfam family: Bacterial large subunit ribosomal RNA
Source: RNAcentral
UGCCUAAUGCAUAUUAAUAUCAGGUAUUUCUGCCCAGUGACAUAGUUAAACGGCCGCGGUAUACUGACCGUGCUAAGGUAGCACAAUAAUGAGCCUCUUAAUUAGAGGAUAGAAUGAAUGAAAGAACAAUGGAUAGCUUUUAUGGUAAAUAAUAAUAAAAUUUAUCUGCAAGUGAAAAAGCUUGCAUAUUUUGAAAAGACAAAAAGACCCUAAAAUCUUUAUAUAAUAUUAAUAAAUUUAGUUAACAAUAUAUUUAGUUGGGGCGACGAUAAGAAUAUAACACUUAAUAAUUUAUAGGCUUACAAGCCAAAAUUAAAAGCCAAACGCAUAUGAGUAAGUUACUUUAGGGAUAACAGGCUAGUUCUUCUUGAGAGAACACAUUUACAGAAGAGCUCAGCACCUCGAUGUGGCUUAAGGAUAGUUUUUCGUGUAGGCGCGAAAU